UAUAAUACAACACUUUUCUGUAAACGCAGUGAUUCAUAGCUAUAGUAAUUUAAAAACAAACAAAAAAACCUAUAGUAAUACAACUUUUACACCUGCCGCGCCAAAACCAAAUUAAAGAAACAAAACCCUACCCAGGAUCAGCACCACCACCGCCUAAGUAUUUCCCCACAAUCUCCAUCUUCUUUCCUUCUCCCACCACGACUUCCACAGUUAAGAUUGAGUUCCCAAUCGAACUCAAGAACUCAAGAGUUCAAUCCCAAUCCAAGUUGACUCAAAUCGAAAUUUCCCAAAUCGAAAAUUAAAGAGUUCUCUUCAAUCCAGAUCCAGAUAUUUCCGUAUGUAUCUUCUUCUCCGGCGAACGUUGGCGGCGAUUAUUAUCCGGCGAACAUAUUUUCCCGAUGCGUGUGAUUGAAUUAUCAAUUAACUCCUUUGAGAAAACUUCUAUUGAAAGGGCUAAGCCAGUUGAAACUUGGCAGAGGUCCUAUGGUUGCCCAAACGUUGUCUUCAACGAUGUUUGUGUUGUUUCUCUCAAGCGUAUAUGGUCUCCUCGAUGCUCAUUGGCGCUUCACGGAUGGUUCUGCCAUUAGUCCAACAUAACAAGUCCUUAUAGUUCAUCACCUUCUCGAAGCAACUUUUCUUGGUACAGGAAUCUCCUUGUUCCUUGCUCUCAUAAUUGACAGACAACACUAUUAUAUAAAUGAGAUUCGUCUUUUGAGGAACAAGUCAGAAGAUAACGAGCUUCAUCAACAAAAAGGAAGAAGGAUGUAAGUGAAGUACUUUCAUAAUUAAGGAGGCCGACAAUGUAAGUUAAUACAGUUAAUACGCUCAACGCUUACUUAACAGGAAGCGGUAAAUAAUUUUAGUUAUUCAAAUAUCUGUGUGGAUAAAAGGCAUGAGUGUUCAUUUGUUUGUCACGGGUAUUAAGAUCACACCUUACAAUUUGACUUUUACACGAUUCAUAUAUACUUCGUAGUUUAUUUUAGCUGCGUGGUGUGAAUGAUAGGUACACAUGUUCGAAUCCUUAUUCAUGAAUGUUUGAGCAACAACUUCAUUCACGAUAAAAAGUAUUUGAAACUCCCACGAGACCUAUCUGUUAAGCCUGUCUUCGUAGUCGCACCAUAUUGGCCUUGUGUUCCUGUCUUCCCUGUGAUCUUGUUAGCCCGCAUAGUACCAUUCGAACCCCUGGAUUACUGCCCCAUGUACUGUUGCUGCUAGUACUACUGCGACCACUUUAGCCUCUACUUCUUCCAGCCCGUAGAGAUGCAAGAAUAAUCCGUAACAAGCUCUUCUCCUUGCUUAGAUUUUGGUUCCUCAUCAUCAUUGGCCAUGAUUAACAGCCUAUUUUCUAACCUCAAGGGCCCUUGUUUAGAUACAGAACAGAAGCUAAAUUGAACCAAACCGUGUCAGUUGCGUUUUACUUAUGAGAAAUCAGACCCUAAUCAAAUGCAUACAUCUUGUUUAGGUCAUAAAUAGAAUAUAGUUGGAAGUAAGAACUACAGAAAAGGCCAGCACCAGAUCAGACUGACUGACAGCAAUAACUUGGUCAAAAUUGACCAGGGUUAACCAGAACCAAGCCCUAGAAACAUCUGAUUUAGCACCAACCAGACUGACUGUUGGAUUAUCUACAAAUUAUGUGGCUACUGCGUUACUGAUUCAGGCACAUGAGUCCGAACGCUAUGUUGAAUCAUUCACUAUAUAUAACGAAUUGCAGAUAAAAUUAACUUCAACAGUAGCCAAUCUUUUCUUUUUCAUACCACAAUAGAAAAUACAGCAGGGUUUAAGUUCUUCCGAAUGAAGUAUGACUUUAAGUGACUUGUUUUUUAAGCGAAAACUUCACAGAGAAAUACACAAUCCUUUAGUUCAUUUCUCAUAUGAAUUCUCUGUUGUUCAUUAGUAGUCAAUGCAGGGGGUACAACCUGUGCACCAGGAAUUCUCUGUUGUUCAUUAGUAGGCAACGCAGUAGGUGGUUUACCCCCUGCAGAUGAUGGGGUUCUUUUCUGAUUACAAUGAUUGAUUUCUUUAUCCAAUUCUGCAGACAAAACAUCUAGCGGAGCUCAGAUUAUACAGUCUAAUUCAACACUGAAGUAUAGAUGUAUAAUAUAUGUUGUCUUACAGUGUGCAGACGCAGCCUCUAGUUGAGCUAAACUCCCAUUUCUGGCACUAGAACUAAGUCUCUAUAUAGAUGUAUAAUAUAUGUUGGUUUUGUUUGCAGAGCACUUUUUGGUUUUCGAACCGAAAAAGGAUUGUUGAAGAAAAUUAAAAUGAGCACCAAGUGGAUACAGAUACAAUGUCCUCGGCAAAAAAAUGUCAUGGAUUCUGGAUAUUAUGUCAUGAGAUACAUGAAAGAGAUCAUCGACCAUAAGCAAACUCGAAUAUUUGAAGAUUACUUUCAUGAUUGCAAUGUUCCACAUUAUGAUCAAGGAGAAAUUGAUGAAGUCAGAGCUCAAUGGAUGCGUCAUGUUCUUCCCAUGUGAAUAUUGUGAUGUAUUAAUUAUGUUUUUCGACUAGAAUUUCUCUAGAACGUUUUAAUUUUAUUUUAUUGGUUUGAAAUUAAAAGAAGUACUAUAUGACAAUGAUACUUCUUUCUGUUUUGUAGUGUGUUUUUAUUCUACUGUGUAUUUAGGAAUAUAUGAUUUUAAGUUAUGUACGAGACAUCGCGACGUUUAUUUGAUAUGAUAGAAAUGAAGUUGGAUGUUA
This is a long non-coding RNA of Spinacia oleracea (spinach), 2697 nucleotides long. RefSeq lists it as uncharacterized. The record is from RefSeq and is a predicted model, not a curated record. The transcript is spliced from 5 exons. NCBI's taxonomy places the organism in Eukaryota, Viridiplantae, Streptophyta, Magnoliopsida, Caryophyllales, Amaranthaceae.